This is a non-coding RNA of Acanthosepion pharaonis, 110 nucleotides long. NCBI's taxonomy places the organism in Eukaryota, Metazoa, Mollusca, Cephalopoda, Sepiida, Sepiidae. The record is from the annotation of a GenBank genome assembly.
UUAUGGCCACAUCAUGUUGAAAACACUGAUUCCUGUAUGAUCACUAAAGUUAAGCAAUGUCGAGCCUGGUCAGUACCUACAAGGGUGACCGCUUGUGAAUACCAGGUGGU